Molecule: ribosomal RNA, 442 nt
Filed under: uncultured bacterium
Lineage: Bacteria
Description: partial 16S ribosomal RNA
Rfam family: Bacterial small subunit ribosomal RNA
Source: RNAcentral
CCUACGGGAGGCAGCAGUGGGGGAUAUUGCACAAUGGGGGAAACCCUGAUGCAGCGACGCCGCGUGGGCGAAGAAGUAUUUCGGUAUGUAAAGCCCUAUCAGCAGGGAAGAAGAAAUGACGGUACCUGAGUAAGAAGCACCGGCUAAAUACGUGCCAGCAGCCGCGGUAAUACGUAUGGUGCAAGCGUUAUCCGGAUUUACUGGGUGUAAAGGGAGCGCAGGCGGCACGGCAAGCCUGAUGUGAAAGCCCGCGGCCCAACCGCGGGACUGCAUUGGGAACUACCGGGCUGGAGUGCCGGAGAGGUAGGCGGAAUUCCGAGUGUAGCGGUGAAAUGCGUAGAUAUUAGGAGGAACACCAGUGGCGAAGGCGGCUUACUGGACUGUAAAUGACGCUGAGGCUCGAAAGCGUGGGGAGCAAACAGGAUUAGAUACCCGAGUAGUC